CUCGGAGCCAACCAAGUAUAGACUGAAACCUCCACAAACCGAUUUCUACUCUACUGUAAAGAUAUUUAAAGUGGAAGUCAUGAAAUCAUAUUGAAAUGGGUACCUGUAAGCAAGAAGCAGUUCCUCUACAGCAGCAGUAAAUGGCCAACAAAUAGUCCUAUGAUAAUGUGGUAUGAGACUGAAGCUUGGAGUUGCUACAGUUCUUCCGAUUGUGAAGGAAGCCAGACAGACAGCAAGGAUGGCAGAGGAGAGGACAGCUGGGGGAAUAGCAGCAGGCGCCUAGUGGUUUGUGGGUCAAAUCCUGACUGAAGUCAAUACCUAUUCUAUGCAAGCUUUUCUCCUUUGUUUUUUGUUUUUAUUUAUUUUUAUUUGAUGAAUUUAAAUCAGAUUUACUGUUAUUA
Chinchilla lanigera (long-tailed chinchilla) is the source of this 401-nucleotide long non-coding RNA. RefSeq lists it as uncharacterized. The transcript is spliced from 3 exons. The record is from RefSeq and is a predicted model, not a curated record. Lineage: Eukaryota; Metazoa; Chordata; Mammalia; Rodentia; Chinchillidae.